GCUGGGCAUGGUGGUGCAUGCCUGUAAUCCCAGCUACUUGGGAGGCUGAGGCAGGAGAAUUGCUUGAACCCAGGAGGCAGAGGUUGCAUAGCUGAGAUUGCACCACUGCACUCCAACCUGGGCGACAGAGCAAGACUCUGUCUCAA
Non-coding RNA from Pan troglodytes (chimpanzee), 146 nucleotides. It matches the Rfam family "Metazoan signal recognition particle RNA". Rfam says of the family: The signal recognition particle (SRP) is a universally conserved ribonucleoprotein. It is involved in the co-translational targeting of proteins to membranes. The eukaryotic SRP consists of a 300-nucleotide 7S RNA and six proteins: SRPs 72, 68, 54, 19, 14, and 9. The record is from Rfam. NCBI's taxonomy places the organism in Eukaryota, Metazoa, Chordata, Mammalia, Primates, Hominidae.